UACAAGCUGCGUUGUUCGUAGUCAUAAUAAAGUUUUAACCUUUAAGCUGUAAAAGGGAGUUUAACCAUUGGAGCUCGAAUGACAAGCCUCUGUCUAUAAGACCUGGAGGACAUGCAGAAAAGUUUCUGAGAACACCCACUUUGAGGAGUGGUGGUUUAAAACUUUCUUAUAUUAAUACGGCAAAUGCGGCUACAUA
Molecule: non-coding RNA, 196 nt
Organism: Bacillus sp. OV166
Lineage: Bacteria; Bacillati; Bacillota; Bacilli; Caryophanales; Bacillaceae
Source: Rfam